AAUCAACGCUGGCGGCGUGCCUCAGACAUGCAAGUCGAACGAUUAAAGCUCUCUUCGGAGAGUGUAUAGAGUGGCGCACGGGUGAGUAACACGUAAGUAAUCUACCUUUGAGUGGGGAAUAACAAUCGGAACGAUUGCUAAUACCGCAUAAUGCAGCGGCAUCGCAGGAUGACAGUUGUUAAAGGAGCAAUCCGCUUAAAGAGGAGCUUGCGGCAGAUUAGCUAGUUGGUAAGGUAAUGGCUUACCAAGGCUACGAUCUGUAACCGGUCUAAGAGGACGGUCGGUCACACUGACACUGAAUAACGGGUCAGACUCCUACGGGAGGCAGCAGUCGGGAAUUUUGGGCAAUGGGCGAAAGCCUGACCCAGCAACGCCGCGUGAAGGAUGAAGUAUUUCGGUAUGUAAACUUCGAAAGAAUAGGAAGAAUCAAUGACGGUACUAUUUAUAAGGUCCGGCUAACUACGUGCCAGCCGCCG
This 476-nucleotide ribosomal RNA is filed under the name uncultured bacterium. RNAcentral describes it as "bacterial SSU rRNA". It matches the Rfam family "Bacterial small subunit ribosomal RNA", at positions 32 to 517 of the family's 1533-position model. The record is from RNAcentral.